Long non-coding RNA from Homo sapiens (human), 989 nucleotides. Ensembl annotates it as SOX2 overlapping transcript. Its record names the gene SOX2-OT. The record is from Ensembl. Lineage: Eukaryota; Metazoa; Chordata; Mammalia; Primates; Hominidae.
AUUUGAAAACUCCCCUUGCACCAGGGCUGACUGUAGCUGGGGGAAGACAUUUUACUCAUUUGCUCUUUCCUUUCAUACAGUCAGCUGGUCCCUCUUCUCAGGUGUAGAUCACCUAUUAUAAUUUUACCUAAUUUUGAUACUCUGAUAAGGAAAGUCCCAGGACUUAUCAGCUGGGAUAGGCCUCACUUACAAGACAGCUCUGUUCAGUAUUUGGAAGAAAGCCUGACAGGUUUCUUCGGAAAAGUGGCCAUCCAUGGAAUGAAUGAAAUGUUCUCUUUCUAUUCCAUAGAGACAGGAUUUCACCAUCUUGGCCAGGCUGGUCUUGGACUCCUGACCUCGUGACCCACCUACCUCGGCCUCCCAAAAUGCUGGGAUUACAGGUGUGAUUCAUGUUUUUAUCCCAAAUGCUUGGCACAGUGACUUUUCCAGUUGGAACUCAAUAACGAAGGAAGCUCUGGCCUGAGGAAAGCAAGUUGCAAUAAUAAAGAUGUCCUGACACAGAUGAAUGGGAAGAUGUUGGAUUCAUUUUGAGCCAAACUGGUAUGAGGAGGUCAGCUAAAAGCAUGAAGAGGAGAUAACCUAGUCCCAUCAAUUGAAUUCUCCUAGGAGCCAGGGUCAGAUUUGAGAAACUUCUGGAGGAUCCAGUUAGCUUUAGAAGCUGUAGAUCUGGUUUUACUUAGCAGUUCUGGUCCAUUUUAAUUUGUUACAUUUGCGUUUCACUGAAAUUGGUAUAAAAAGUAAAUAAAACGUUCAAAAAAUAUUUAUUGAGUACCUACUAUGUACCAGAAAUGUGGCUAGGCAUUGUGGAUAUUGCUGUAUAAAUCCCAAUUCCUGCCCUCUUGAAGCUAACAUUCUACUUAAAGAAACUGAUAUGAAACCAUUAAUUAUAUAAUUCAGUAUUUAAUUGGAGUCAUAUUAAAUGCUACAAAGGAAAAAUGCAAAGUACUGAAAAAACACACAACAGAAGGAUGUGAUCUAAUAUAGAAUAU